UACGAAGGGAGCUAGCGUUGUUCGGAAUCAUUGGGCGUAAAGCGCACGUAGGCGGAUUUGUAAGUCAGGGGUGAAAUCCCGGGGCUCAACCUCGGAACUGCCUUUGAUACUGCAAAUCUCGAGUCCGAUAGAGGUGGGUGGAAUUCCUAGUGUAGAGGUGAAAUUCGUAGAUAUUAGGAAGAACACCGGUGGCGAAGGCGGCCCACUGGAUCGGUACUGACGCUGAGGUGCGAAAGCGUGGGGAGCAAACAGG
This 253-nucleotide ribosomal RNA is filed under the name uncultured bacterium. RNAcentral's name for it is "partial 16S ribosomal RNA". It matches the Rfam family "Bacterial small subunit ribosomal RNA", at positions 524 to 776 of the family's 1533-position model. The record is from RNAcentral.